AGCGAACGUUUGCGGCGGGCCUAACACAUGCAAGUCGAACGGGCAGUCCCUUCGGGGGCUGUCAGUGGCGCACGGGUGCGUAACACGUAGGUAAUCAACCCUCGGGUUCGGGAUAACACUUCGAAAGGGGUGCUAAUACCGGAUGCGACGAGCGUCUCCUCGGAGAUGCACGGGAAAGAUCCGCAAGGGUCGCCCGAGGACGAGCCUGCGGCCCAUCAGCUUGUUGGUGAGGUAAUGGCUCACCAAGGCUAAGACGGGUAGCCUGGUCUGAGAGGAUGAUCAGUCACACUGGAACUGAGACACGGUCCAGACUCCUACGGGAGGCAGCAGUGGGGAAUAUUGCGCAAUGGGCGAAAGCCUGACGCAGCCACGCCGCGUGAGCGAUGAAGGCCU
RNAcentral lists this ribosomal RNA (393 nucleotides) under uncultured bacterium. Its description in RNAcentral is "bacterial SSU rRNA". It matches the Rfam family "Bacterial small subunit ribosomal RNA", at positions 29 to 417 of the family's 1533-position model. The record is from RNAcentral.